This 5152-nucleotide long non-coding RNA is filed under the name Sus scrofa (pig). RNAcentral's name for it is "lncRNA (ENSSSCG00060009188.1)". The record is from RNAcentral. Lineage: Eukaryota; Metazoa; Chordata; Mammalia; Artiodactyla; Suidae.
UUUUUUUUUUCUUUUUUUGGCUGACUCCAAAGCAUGUGGAAGUCCCCAGGGAAGGGAUCAAACCUGUGCCACAGAAGUGACCCAAGCCACUGCAGUGAUAACAGCAGGAAUUUAACCUGCUGCACCACAAGAGAACUCCUGUCUCUUUUCAUCUUUUGAUGACUCUUGUGCAGAAAUGGCAGUUAGCUUUCUCUUGGAUAUGUAUGCAGUCAUCUAGAUUUAAAGGCAUAUGGUCUAUCUUGGAUCGCUUACAGAUUGCAAGAUGGCUCUGAAGCCAAACUUGCUGCUUAUUUCAUGCCCUGCACAUUUAAUUACUGCUUGAUGUGAAUGAAGCGUUUUAUCUGAAGAUAUGCACUGCUGAAAUUUUAGCUGGGUUGAGUCAUAAAACAGUUUUCAACAGAUUGAGGCAAUCUUAGAGGGAAGUUUGUGAAGAAAGUUGGCUUGAACUAUCUCACCGUAAGUAAUAAAUGUUUUGAGUCAGUCUGAAUAUUGCCGGAUAAGACGACAAAUACAAGUGUUCCUACUUUAGCAUUCUUCUAGAUAAUUCUACAAACCGAGAUUCUUUUAUUGGGGUUAAUCAAUAUUGGUAAAUGGUUAAUCAGUAUUGGUAAAUGGUUAAUUAUGAUACAAGUUAGUUGUGAAAGAGAGCUAAGGCAUUUCCCUAGUCACUCAUUUCUUUUGGGGGGUUAUUCUUUAGUUUGGUACAAACUACUUUCUCCGCAGCACAACUUUUCUUAGUUCCACCUCUGGCUGUGUUUCCAUGACUUCUUGUCAGUUAAACCAUUCCUCUAGUUGGUCAUCUCAGAUAGUACUAGCCUGGGGCUAGUAGGGAUGGAGUAAUAUCUGAGGAGCCUGUAGAGUCUGGUAUUUCAGCAAAGAGCUCAUGAGUUUAGGUUGUUUUAGCUAAUAGGUUGUUCUUCCAAUUUCUAAUAAUGUAAACAUAAAAAAAUAGCUAGGCUUAAGAUGAGGAUUGAUAAAAAGAGGCUAGUGAACUGCCAGCAUGGUAUCUGGUACAUCCUCUUCAUCUAAAGUGGCUGCCAUGUUAUCAUUCCAAGACUGCUGUCCAUGCACAUUCUUCACACUGGAACACUUGAGUCAUGGUGGGAGUAUAGCUAUUAGCCACUUCUGGCUCUUGCAUAUGUGCUCUGAACUGUCCUCUGCUUUCCUUUCUAUACUCCCUUUCCUUUGUGCCAAAUAAUUUAGACAAUACACACACAAAAAUUUUGUUUUGUCUUUUUAGGGCCACACCCAUGGCAUAAGGAGGUUCCCAGGCUAGGAGUUGAAUCAGAGCUGUAGCCACUGGCCUACGCCACAGCCACAGCAACGUGGGAUCCAAGCUGUAUUUGUGAACUAUGUCACAGCUCACAGCAACAUUGGAUCCUUAACCCACUAAGCGAGGCCAGGGAUCAAACCUGUGUACUCAUGGAUACUAGUCAGAUUCAUUUCUACUGAGCCACGAUGGGAACUCCCCCCACUUUUUUUUCCUUUUAAGUCAAAUUCUGAUCCUAAGAAACAGAAUGGAGAAAGCAAUUUUACUGAUUCUAUAAGCUCCUCCAAAGCCUGGAAUGUUCUCUCCCCUCUAUUAGUCUUCACAUAGGCCGUUCCUUCAUCAGAACACUUUCCUUCUUAUUUUUGUUUCAUAAGCCUUCUUACCAUCAAAGCUUUAGUUUAGAUUGCUCUCUCCCCUAGAAAGCCUUACCUGAUCCCUAAUCUUGCAUCUUCUAGGUUUGUGAUGUCUCCAAGCAUGUUAGACCUGCAGUGCUGUCUGGUGCCUGGCUCAGACAGAGACCUGAGCUCCAGGAAGGGCAGAGAUCAUGUUUGCCUCACUCAUCUCUAUCGAUCAUUGCACCCUCAGCAGCUAGCACAGUGCCUGGCCGAGAGCAGGCACUCAAUAAAUGUUCUUCCUUGGAAACCCAUGUCCGCGCCUUUUCUAGAAGGCUUUGAAAAUCAUUUACUCUUUUGUAUCUCCUCAGUUAUCUCUAUCCUGGGGCAGCAAUUUGUCACAAAACUCAGAGGUUUGGCAGUGACACCCAAGUUUAGUUAAUCUUGGAAUCAAGUUCCCAAAAAACACACACAUUGUAUCACUUAUUGGGUUGUGGAAUGCAUCUCACUUUUAGCAAAGGAGUGCAAUGCUUAGGUUACCAUGUCUGCUCUGAUAUCUUCUACUGUGUGACCCUGAGCAAGUCACUUAACAUCUUCAUGUCUCAGUUUUCUUACCUUGACAAUGGAGCUGAUGACAGUUUCCACCUCAAACUGUGAAAAGAGAAUAUGUGUGUCUAUGUGCAUGUGGGGGGUAGGGGAGGAAGGAGGCGGGGGGGGGGAAGAGAGUUGGGGUAAAGAGAGACAUAAAGUACUUAGUACAGUCCCUGGCAUGCAGUAUAUUCUCAAGAAUGCUAACCAUGAUGAUUAAUGAUUCCAUUCUUCCAUGUUUCUAAAUCAACAUGGUAUUAAUAUAUCCACUAACAAGAAUGUGAGAAUAAAGCACUAUGACAAAGGGAGAGGAGAGGUACAAGAUGGUGUUCAACCGGACCAUUAUUAGGGAAUCUAAUUCACUUUAGAAAAACAAAUGUUGAGAUGUUAUUUUGAAAUAUAUAUUAAAAUGUUAUUUUAAAACAGCAACAGGAAGGAAGAAGUAGAAUUGCUGCUUGCCCGAAGGCUUUCUGCAAACCUUUCUAUUUUCCAUUUCUGUCACCUGUUCAGGUUGCCCUUUUGCCAUCCUCUUAACAGGCAAAAUGUUCGGGGGUGGCUAUGUUGCACCAUGCACCAAGGGGACUGAUAUGAGCUGAUUCAAUGAGCCUACCAUCUACUCUUUGUGUUUGACUAUUUAAAUCAAUGUGCUAUACAAUAUCUGUGUAUGCUUGGUGGCCUCUUAGCCCCAUUAGAAAACUGUGUGAGCAAGGGCAGGAGGCAGGGAGAUGGUUCCCGGAAUCAGCAACUAAUUUGCAAGCCUGAGGAGUAUGCAUGAAAGGCAGCAGUAAAAGUCAGUCAUCAGCUCUGAUAUUUAUAGUGAGAGGGAGGAAAGAAAGAAGAGAAAGCCAUGAAAUGUUAUUAGAAAGUCAGGAAAAUAGAGCUACUCAAUAUUAUUCAUACCUUACUACUUGUUCUUCAUUUUUUUUAAGGAGUUUUUAUGUAUAAUGUAUGUGUGGGGUCUUAAGAAAUAGAAACAAGAAACUUCCUCCCCCUCAUCAAUGGUAUAUAAUAAAUUACUAUAUUUCAUUUCAAGAAAUUGAAAUGAACUAACCACAAAUGCAGGAAGAUAAGACCUAAAAAAGCAAUAUGAGGUUUCCUUUUCUCCCUUAAUUUUUUUUUGUUAGAAAUUGAAGAAUCAUGUUGAAUUUCAAAUAAUCUGCCUAGUCCAAAUACCAAACUGCUGCAUAUUUUGCACAGUGAGGUGUGUUUUAAAAACAUUUUAUAAAAUACAUGUUAUAUAGUGAGAAAACCAAUGGGAGAAAAAAAAUAAUUCUCACAUGGUAUUAGAAGAAUAUCUAGUGACUUGCAAAUAGGGAACAAUAUAAUAUUGUGUGAACAGCAAGCAUUUAUUUUAUUGUCAAUACCCACAAAUAAAUAAAUAGCAGUAAUAGGGGAGUAUCAGAUACUUUGAAAACUGUUAGAACUACUGAAUUGGCACAGAACUAGGGAGUUUUAACAUGCCCGGAUGAACUGCCACUAUUGUAAGUGCAGAAUUAUCUUGACUCAUCUCUUGUUUUUGUAACUUUGAUUUAUUAUUAUCCUGGGGAGAUUAGACCUUGGUGCUUGGAAUUCUAAUUGAACCUCCACACUUGGAGAUUGCUCCUUUAUACUACCUAGCAACUAGAAAGCAGGAAAGCAUUUUGGGGGAGAAUAUGCUCAAAUAUACGUAUUUGAGUAAAAAAAAAAAAAAAAGUAACCUUUAACUGUUUUCUCGGUUCUUUGAAAAGCAUUCAUUAUAGCACUGAAACGACUCCUUAGGUUAGAAUUAGGACCCUUUGGGAAGGUUUAUAAAAGCUUUCACCUUGGAGAGGCCACUGGGUUUCCAGGGCAAUGAGUUAACCAAACCAGUAGUAAUCACAGAAUAUUAGGGUCUGAAAUGAAACCAGCUCUGUCCACCCUUAUUUUUGAAGGUGAGAAAACUGGCAUCUCAGAGGUUAAUAGCCUUGUUCAGGCCACACACAUCACAGUAAGGCUGGUCCUAGAAUGGCACCUCCUGACCUCAUCUAGCAUGAUUCCUAGAAUUCUGUGGUUCUCGGCACUUCCUCCAAUGUCUGGCACAAAGUGGGCUCACAAUAAAUGUGUAUCAAUUCACUGAAUGGCCUGAGAGCCUUAAUAAUUACAAAUAUUAUUUUAAAUUAGUUAAAAACACUGAAAAAAUCUUUUUAGAGAGACUAGUCAAUUGCAACCAGACCACUGUGAACAAGAAUACUAUAAACAGGAGGAAAACAUUUAACUAUAGCCUGUAGUAACAAGCUGAAACAUCCUAUGAUGGGGAGGUGCUGGAAAAGCUAGUUGCUUGUGACUAUCUAUAUCAGAAGCACUAGAAUAUCCUUGUCGAGGAUGGAGAAAAAGAUGGCAUGAAAUUCCUUUGCUUUCUGCUGCUAUGCAAACAGCAGGCAGGAGUUCCUGUCAUGGCACAGUGGAAACAAAUCCAACUAGGGGUACCAUGAGGUUAUGGGCUCAAUCCUUGGCCUCGCUCAAUGGGUUAAGGAUACAGUGUUGCUGUGAGCUGUGGUGCAGGGAUCGAACCCGUAACCUCAUGGUUCCUAGUUGGAUUCGUUAACCACUGUGCCACGAAGGGAACUCCCCUCUCUAUACAUCUUGUAGCAGCUCCCCCCAUGGCUAUGAAUGAAUGAAUGAAUGAAGACAUCCAGACUGGCAAAUGCUUUCAUGUUUUAGGGUCCUUUGGUUAAUCUACCUGGUUGCUGACUUUCAGUUAAGAGUUCUUGGUACUAAGGGAAAUUCCUCAGAACUUUGGGGAGAUGAUAAAAUUCUCCUCCUGGAUACACUCAUCCCAAUGAAAAUGCAUCCACUAGGUUGGGGUUGGGGAUAAAAUAGCAGGGAUUUAACGUCUUGGUUUAGUCUUAGGGGAUCAGGGAGGCAAGUGAAACCCACGAUCUGGAGAGCUCACCUGAGUAAAAUUUAAAGUGUGAGCGGGUACAAAAAGUAUGAAUGGAGUCAU